RNAcentral lists this non-coding RNA (159 nucleotides) under Paracidovorax citrulli. RNAcentral's name for it is "Acidovorax citrulli ZTP sequence". It matches the Rfam family "ZMP/ZTP riboswitch aptamer (pfl RNA motif)". From Rfam's summary of the family: Previously known as pfl RNA. ZMP is also known as AICAR. The record is from RNAcentral. RNAcentral also lists the same sequence under 1 other name. Lineage: Bacteria; Pseudomonadati; Pseudomonadota; Betaproteobacteria; Burkholderiales; Comamonadaceae.
CGAGGGGUACGCGACUGGCGAUAGGCGCGGUGCAUCCGCGAAGGCGGACGCCGCCGCUGACGUGGAAACCGGCAGGCACUUUCACCUGCGAACCACUGGGAAGCGUGCCGCACGGGCUGCAAGGCCCGUUGUGUUCCGCCGUUCGCCUGGGCAGCCCUU